GGGGGAGGAGCCAAGAUGGCCGAAUAGGAACAGCUCCGGUCUACAGCUCCCAGCGUGAGCGACGCAGAAGACGGGUGAUUUCUGCAUUUCCAUCUGAGGAUGAUUAACAGCAUUCAAGGUGGUGGCUACACAUCACAUCAGCCUGGAUUCUCAAGUAGGAAGAUACGCAACAGAGCAUCCAGCUGACCUUCACUGGAUAUGUUGUAUGAACAAGAAGUAAACUUCAUGCAGCAAUAUGGUGGGGACGCAUACUACAGCUGAGCUCUGGACAGGAAGUUUUCCAUUUUAUGAGAAACUCAAACCACCAAGAAAACCAGCUUAUCUCACAAAAUAUUUUUAUACUUCUCUAGAACUCAGUAAGAGGCCCUCAACGGAUUGGAUGAUGCCUCUCCACGGUCCACAUCGGUGAGGGUGAUUGUCUUUACUCAGCCUAUUGAUUCAAACACUAAUCUCUUCUGGAAACACUCUCAGACUCACCCAGAAGUAAUGUUUGGCCAGCCAUCGGAGCAUCCUCUGGCUUAGUCAAGUUAACACAUAGAAUUAACCAUCACAGAAGGCAACAGAAAAACCUUUAAAGAAUCAAUAGAAAAUAUGUGCAUCAGAAAAUAUUGCUGGCUUACCCAAAAGCUAUUUCCCUUUUGUUCCUUACUAACAACUCUUACUUUGUUUAUAUUUGAGGAAGUAAUGUACUUAAGGAAGUUUUGUCUCUAACCCAGCAUUCAAGAAUGCGAAGACAAUCACGUUAAUCCCAUUUCCUCUACCAGUGAUUGGUGUGGAGGUGGGCAUAUCACUCACUUAUAACCAAAAGGUCCUGAGGGGGACUUACUAAGAACUUUUCAGAAAGGUUUUUCUCCAUGAUUAAAAGAAAAAUUGUAAAGGAAACAUCCCUUUCCUGUUUGAAUUCACUUGUGUGAGGACGUGAUGCUUGUAUCUAUGGCAACCAUUCUGUAACCAUGAGAUGAAAGCUAAAAGAAUCACAGAGAAGCUGACCCAAAACCCAGACAACUACAUUGCUGAAUCAGCAAACCUCAGAACUAUUUAUUUCCAGAUUUGUGUUGUAUGAAUAAUGAAUUCUUGUUUUUAGGCUCUAGUAAAUAUUCCAUUUCUUAGAGCAAACAGCAUUCUCAUGGAUAAAAUAUUUAUGAAUAACAUCCAUCUGUUUCCCUUUUAUUCAAUAUUUCAAGGUUAUUGAAAUUAUUAUAAAUAAAAUCAUUAAUAUUAUUUUUAAUCUACAUUUUUAUUUAGGUAUAACUAUAAAUUAGGCAUAACAAUUGAUAGCAUCUGAUAGACAUGAUUAGAGUUCAUGGGAAUAUACAGCUAAAUCUUUACAAAGGUCAUUAUAGCAGGUCAUUUUACAAUGUCUAGAGUCUUUACCAUCUCAUUUAUAUUUUCUCAUUUGAC
Molecule: long non-coding RNA, 1401 nt
Filed under: Homo sapiens (human)
Lineage: Eukaryota; Metazoa; Chordata; Mammalia; Primates; Hominidae
Description: HSALNT0073829
Source: RNAcentral